RNAcentral lists this ribosomal RNA (465 nucleotides) under Vreelandella stevensii. RNAcentral's name for it is "partial 16S ribosomal RNA". It matches the Rfam family "Bacterial small subunit ribosomal RNA", at positions 338 to 795 of the family's 1533-position model. The record is from RNAcentral. Lineage: Bacteria; Pseudomonadati; Pseudomonadota; Gammaproteobacteria; Oceanospirillales; Halomonadaceae.
CCUACGGGAGGCAGCAGUGGGGAAUAUUGGACAAUGGGCGAAAGCCUGAUCCAGCCAUGCCGCGUGUGUGAAGAAGGCCUUCGGGUUGUAAAGCACUUUCAGUGGGGAAGAAAGCCUUGGGGCUAAUACCCUCGAGGAAGGACAUCACCCACAGAAGAAGCACCGGCUAACUCCGUGCCAGCAGCCGCGGUAAUACGGAGGGUGCGAGCGUUAAUCGGAAUUACUGGGCGUAAAGCGCGCGUAGGCGGUCUGAUAAGCCGGUUGGGAAAGCCCCGGGCUCAACCUGGGAACGGCAUCCGGAACUGUCAGGCUAGAGUGCAGGAGAGGAAGGUAGAAUUCCCGGUGUAGCGGUGAAAUGCGUAGAGAUCGGGAGGAAUACCAGUGGCGAAGGCGGCCUUCUGGACUGACACUGACGCUGAGGUGCGAAAGCGUGGGUAGCAAACAGGAUUAGAUACCCCAGUAGUC